Molecule: ribosomal RNA, 432 nt
Filed under: Triticum aestivum (bread wheat)
Lineage: Eukaryota; Viridiplantae; Streptophyta; Magnoliopsida; Poales; Poaceae
Description: partial small subunit ribosomal RNA
Source: RNAcentral
AUGGCAUCCAACACUGCCCUCUUCGUCGCCCUGAGCCUUCUCCUCUCUGCCGUCGCCGCCCACGGCUGCGGAAGCACCUAUUGCCAACCGCCGGCCGUCGUGCCGACACCAACCAUCGUCGUUCCGCCGCCAUACCAUGGAGGAGGAGGGCACGGCCACGGCGCCGGGCAGUGCUCCAUCAACGUGCUCAACCUGAGGGUGUGCGCCAACGUUCUCGGCGGGCUGCUCCGCCUCAAGGUUGGCGUUCCGGCGCACGACCAGUGCUGCCCGCUGCUCCAGGGGUUGGCCGACCUCGACGCCGCCGUCUGCCUCUGCACCGCCGUCAGGGCCAACAUCCUCGGCCUCCACCUCAACGUGCCUGUGGACAUCAGACUCCUCCUCAACCACUGCGGCAAGAAGUGCCCGUCUGGUUUCACUUGCCCAGCCCAUUAA